AUGAAUGACAAACUUCUUCCGAUCAUGUGCUGGAAUGUGCGCGGGCUGAACCACCCCGCGAAGCGUGCGUCUGUCUGCGAAGUCGCCAUAGCAAAUCGAGUAGCGAUCCUGUGUUUGCAAGAAACAAAAAUCGAAGCCUGGUCUCCUAGUCUAGGCCGGGAAAUUGGCGGCUCCUCGCUGACUGACUGCAUCGCCCUCCCGGCGAUCAGCACCAGUGGCAGAGCAGCAAUUCUUUGGAACAAAGACCUCGCCACCGUCACCUCCCACGCCAUUGGCGCCUUCGCCAUCAUGGCAAGGGUUUCCCUGCUAGGCCAGCCCCAUAGUUUCUGUCUCUCCUCCGCCUACGGACCUGCUGACGACGCAAGGAAAGAUAGCUUCAUCCUCGAGCUCGCCCGCACAGCCCCGCCCACAAACAAGCCCUGGCUGAUCAAUGGAGAUUUUAACCUCAUCUACGAGGCACGUGACAAAAACAAUCUCAACCUUAACCGUAGGCUUAUGGGUAGGUUCAGAUCGGCCAUUGAUGAUGCUGGCCUGAAGGAGAUCAAGUGCAAGAAUCGCCGCUACACUUGGAGCAACGAACGCCAAGACCCCACCCUUGUCAGCAUUGACAAGUUCUUCUGCAACCAAGCCUGGGAGUCCAUAUUCCCUAGUUUCGCGGUGAUGGCGGCUUCUACGGCCACGUCAGACCACUGCCCAUUGAUCCUCGCCGACACAAGUUGA
Molecule: ribosomal RNA, 720 nt
Filed under: Triticum aestivum (bread wheat)
Lineage: Eukaryota; Viridiplantae; Streptophyta; Magnoliopsida; Poales; Poaceae
Description: partial small subunit ribosomal RNA
Source: RNAcentral